AAUGAACGCUGGCGGCAUGCCUAACACAUGCAAGUCGAACGAGAUCUUCGGAUCUAGUGGCGCACGGGUGAGUAACGCGUGGGAACCUACCUUUUAGUACGGGACAACGUUUGGAAACGAACGCUAAUACCGUAUACGCCCUCCGGGGGAAAGGUCAGCCGCUGAAAGAAGGGCCCGCGUCUGAUUAGCUUGUUGGUAAGGUAACGGCUUACCAAGGCAACGAUCAGUAGCUGGUCUGAGAGGAUGAUCAGCCACACUGGGACUGAGACACGGCCCAAACUCCCUUGGGAGGCAGCAGUGAGGAAUAUUGGACAAUGGACGAAAGUCUGAUCCAGCAAUGUUGCGUGAGUGAAGAAGGCUAUUUAGGUUGUAAAACUCUUUCAGUGGAAAAGAUAAUGACUUCUCGCAAAAGAAGUCCCGGCUAACUCCG
RNAcentral lists this ribosomal RNA (430 nucleotides) under uncultured Alphaproteobacteria bacterium. RNAcentral describes it as "bacterial SSU rRNA". It matches the Rfam family "Bacterial small subunit ribosomal RNA", at positions 29 to 505 of the family's 1533-position model. The record is from RNAcentral. Lineage: Bacteria; Pseudomonadati; Pseudomonadota; Alphaproteobacteria.